GGGUUGUGAGGUUAAGCGACUAAGCGUACACGGUGGAUGCCCUGGCAGUCAGAGGCGAUGAAGGACGUGCUAAUCUGCGAAAAGCGUCGGUAAGGUGAUAUGAACCGUUAUAACCGGCGAUGUCCGAAUGGGGAAACCCAGUGUGAUUCGUCACACUAUCGUUAACUGAAUACAUAGGUUAACGAGGCGAACCGGGGGAACUGAAACAUCUAAGUACCCCGAGGAAAAGAAAUCAACCGAGAUUCCCCCAGUAGCGGCGAGCGAACGGGGAGCAGCCCAGAGUCUGAAUCAGCUUGUGUGUUAGUGGAACGGUCUGGAAAGUCCGACGGUACAGGGUGAUAGUCCCGUACACCAAAAUGCACAGGCUGUGAACUCGAAGAGUAGGGCGGGACACGUGGUAUCCUGUCUGAAUAUGGGGGGACCAUCCUCCAAGGCUAAAUACUCCUGACUGACCGAUAGUGAACCAGUACCGUGAGGGAAAGGCGAAAAGAACCCCGGCGAGGGGAGUGAAAAAGAACCUGAAACCGUGUACGUACAAGCAGUGGGAGCACCUUCGGGUGUGACUGCGUACCUUUUGUAUAAUGGGUCAGCGACUUAUAUUCUGUAGCAAGGUUAACCGUAUAGGGGAGCCGCAGGGAAACCGAGUCUUAACUGGGCGUUAAGUUGCAGGGUAUAGACCCGAAACCCGGUGAUCUAGCCAUGGGCAGGUUGAAGGUUGGGUAACACUAACUGGAGGACCGAACCGACUAAUGUUGAAAAAUUAGCGGAUGACUUGUGGCUGGGGGUGAAAGGCCAAUCAAACCGGGAGAUAGCUGGUUCUCCCCGAAAGCUAUUUAGGUAGCGCCUCGUGAAUUCAUCUUCGGGGUAGAGCACUGUUUCGGCUAGGGGGUCAUCCCGACUUACCAACCCGAUGCAAACUACGAAUACCGAAGAAUGUUAUCACGGGAGACACACGGCGGGUGCUAACGUCCGUCGUGAAGAGGGAAACAACCCAGACCGCCAGCUAAGGUCCCAAAGUCAUGGUUAAGUGGGAAACGAUGUGGGAAGGCACAGACAGCCAGGAUGUUGGCUUAGAAGCAGCCAUCAUUUAAAGAAAGCGUAAUAGCUCACUGGUCGAGUCGGCCUGCGCGGAAGAUGUAACGGGGCUAAACCAUGCACCGAAGCUGCGGCAGCGACACUAUGUGUUGUUGGGUAGGGGAGCGUUCUGUAAGCCUGCGAAGGUGUGCUGUGAGGCAUGCUGGAGGUAUCAGAAGUGCGAAUGCUGACAUAAGUAACGAUAAAGCGGGUGAAAAGCCCGCUCGCCGGAAGACCAAGGGUUCCUGUCCAACGUUAAUCGGGGCAGGGUGAGUCGACCCCUAAGGCGAGGCCGAAAGGCGUAGUCGAUGGGAAACAGGUUAAUAUUCCUGUACUUGGUGUUACUGCGAAGGGGGGACGGAGAAGGCUAUGUUAGCCGGGCGACGGUUGUCCCGGUUUAAGCAUGUAGGCUGGUUGUCCAGGCAAAUCCGGAUAAUCAAGGCUGAGGUGUGAUGACGAGGCACUACGGUGCUGAAGUAACAAAUGCCCUGCUUCCAGGAAAAGCCUCUAAGCAUCAGGUAACAUCAAAUCGUACCCCAAACCGACACAGGUGGUCAGGUAGAGAAUACCAAGGCGCUUGAGAGAACUCGGGUGAAGGAACUAGGCAAAAUGGUGCCGUAACUUCGGGAGAAGGCACGCUGGUGUGUAGGUGAAGUCCCUGCGGAUGGAGCUGAGACCAGUCGAAGAUACCAGCUGGCUGCAACUGUUUAUUAAAAACACAGCACUGUGCAAACACGAAAGUGGACGUAUACGGUGUGACGCCUGCCCGGUGCCGGAAGGUUAAUUGAUGGGGUUAUCCGUAAGGAGAAGCUCUUGAUCGAAGCCCCGGUAAACGGCGGCCGUAACUAUAACGGUCCUAAGGUAGCGAAAUUCCUUGUCGGGUAAGUUCCGACCUGCACGAAUGGCGUAAUGAUGGCCAGGCUGUCUCCACCCGAGACUCAGUGAAAUUGAACUCGCUGUGAAGAUGCAGUGUACCCGCGGCAAGACGGAAAGACCCCGUGAACCUUUACUAUAGCUUGACACUGAACAUUGAGCCUUGAUGUGUAGGAUAGGUGGGAGGCUUUGAAGCGUGGACGCCAGUCUGCGUGGAGCCAACCUUGAAAUACCACCCUUUAAUGUUUGAUGUUCUAACGUUGGCCCCUUACCGGGGUUGCGGACAGUGUCUGGUGGGUAGUUUGACUGGGGCGGUCUCCUCCCAAAGCGUAACGGAGGAGCACGAAGGUUAGCUAAUCCUGGUCGGACAUCAGGAGGUUAGUGCAAUGGCAUAAGCUAGCUUGACUGCGAGCGUGACGGCGCGAGCAGGUGCGAAAGCAGGUCAUAGUGAUCCGGUGGUUCUGAAUGGAAGGGCCAUCGCUCAACGGAUAAAAGGUACUCCGGGGAUAACAGGCUGAUACCGCCCAAGAGUUCAUAUCGACGGCGGUGUUUGGCACCUCGAUGUCGGCUCAUCACAUCCUGGGGCUGAAGUAGGUCCCAAGGGUAUGGCUGUUCGCCAUUUAAAGUGGUACGCGAGCUGGGUUUAGAACGUCGUGAGACAGUUCGGUCCCUAUCUGCCGUGGGCGCUGGAGAAUUGAGGGGGGCUGCUCCUAGUACGAGAGGACCGGAGUGGACGCAUCACUGGUGUUCGGGUUGUCAUGCCAAUGGCACUGCCCGGUAGCUAAAUGCGGAAGAGAUAAGUGCUGAAAGCAUCUAAGCACGAAACUUGCCCCGAGAUGAGUUCUCCCUGAGACUUUAAGUCUCCUGAAGGAACGUUAAAGACGAUGACGUUGAUAGGCCGGGUGUGUAAGCGCAGCGAUGCGUUGAGCUAACCGGUACUAAUGAACCGUGAGGCUUAACCUUACAACGCCGAAG
RNAcentral lists this ribosomal RNA (2922 nucleotides) under Klebsiella pneumoniae. RNAcentral describes it as "bacterial LSU rRNA". It matches the Rfam family "Bacterial large subunit ribosomal RNA". The record is from RNAcentral. Lineage: Bacteria; Pseudomonadati; Pseudomonadota; Gammaproteobacteria; Enterobacterales; Enterobacteriaceae.